This 631-nucleotide ribosomal RNA is filed under the name uncultured bacterium. RNAcentral's name for it is "bacterial SSU rRNA". It matches the Rfam family "Bacterial small subunit ribosomal RNA", at positions 60 to 704 of the family's 1533-position model. The record is from RNAcentral.
AGUCGAACGAGAGAUGAAGAGCUUGCUCUUCAAAUCGAGUGGCGAACGGGUGAGUAACGCGUGAGGAACCUGCCUCAAAGAGGGGGACAACAGUUGGAAACGACUGCUAAUACCGCAUAAGCCCACGGCUCGGCAUCGAGCAGGGGGAAAAGGAGCAAUCCGCUUUGAGAUGGCCUCGCGUCCGAUUAGCUAGUUGGUGAGGUAACGGCCCACCAAGGCGACGAUCGGUAGCCGGACUGAGAGGUUGAACGGCCACAUUGGGACUGAGACACGGCCCAGACUCCUACGGGAGGCAGCAGUGGGGAAUAUUGCACAAUGGGGGAAACCCUGAUGCAGCGACGCCGCGUGGAGGAAGAAGGUCUUCGGAUUGUAAACUCCUGUUGUUGAGGAAGAUAAUGACGGUACUCAACAAGGAAGUGACGGCUAACUACGUGCCAGCAGCCGCGGUAAAACGUAGGUCACAAGCGUUGUCCGGAAUUACUGGGUGUAAAGGGAGCGCAGGCGGGAGAACAAGUUGGAAGUGAAAUCCAUGGGCUUAACCCAUGAACUGCUUUCAAAACUGUUUUUCUUGAGUAGUGCAGAGGUAGGCGGAAUUCCCGGUGUAGCGGUGGAAUGCGUAGAUAUCGGGAGG